This 460-nucleotide unclassified non-coding RNA is filed under the name Dermacentor andersoni. RNAcentral's name for it is "uncharacterized LOC126525773". The record is from RNAcentral. Lineage: Eukaryota; Metazoa; Arthropoda; Arachnida; Ixodida; Ixodidae.
AAUCUCCUCAUUACCACAUUCAUCAUGGCAAGAAGUCCAACGGCGAACAUAAAAUUUAAAGUAAAGAAGACUUCAGAGAAUCUGUUCUUUGUUCAUUGUGCUCCAAGAAGUAUAUAGCCGGGCCAACGUUCCAACUUCAACGGCAUUCGAGCAACAUGUUUUUCGUUUUGGCAUCUAUUUUCCUUCUACUAUCAACGAUGCAUGGAGGACGCCAGUCAUCUGCCUUUGCAGCGCUUGGUCGUUUCAGCCCUGGGCGAAGUCCUUUCCGCAACUUGCGCUCGACACCUCCUACGAGAGCUCCCCCACCUCCAACGCCUCCUCCACGUCCAAAGUCACUUCCAAAUGGAAAAAAUUACCGCUGAAGCAAUAGCAUUUGUGGUGUGGAUUCUUAUACCAUCAUCGAUGCCAAACUCAACAAAUACUACGCUUUCCAACCCUGCUCAGCACAACAUGAAUAAAA